This 6231-nucleotide unclassified non-coding RNA is filed under the name Hevea brasiliensis (rubber tree). Lineage: Eukaryota; Viridiplantae; Streptophyta; Magnoliopsida; Malpighiales; Euphorbiaceae. The record is from RNAcentral.
UUCUAAUAUUUUCUCUCUCCAUCUAUGUGAUGACAUGAAGAGGGACAAAAUAGAAGUAGAGAAAGAAUCCAUCUUUCCUUCUUCUUCUUUCUUGUACAUUUUUAAAACACAUUCUCUACCCUUUCUCUUCCCGCCCAAGAUCCAGAAAAUUUACCGAACAUGAAGGGAAAGUUUUCUCUCCUUACUCCCUUCCUCUUCUCUUUCACUUUCUCUCUGCUUCUUCCUCCUUCGCUUUCUGCUCCUCCUAAUGAUACAGAUGCUCUCACGCUCUUCCGCCUCCAGACCGACACCCACGGCAAUCUCCUCUCCAACUGGACCGGCCCAAAUGCUUGUGCUUCCUCCUCUUCUUCUUGGGUUGGCGUCAAGUGCUCUGCCGCUGGCCGCGUUGUUUCUCUUUCUCUCCCUUCUCUCUCCCUCCGUGGACCCAUUACUUCCCUUUCUCUUCUUGAUCAGCUCCGCGUCCUCGACCUCCACGAAAACCGCCUCAACGGCUCCGUUUUGCCUCUCACCAACUGCACAAACCUCAAGCUUGUUUAUCUGGAUGGCAAUGACUUCUCAGAUGAAAUCCCGCCGGAGAUUUCCUCUCUCAAACGGCUCCUCCGCUUGGACCUAUCAAACAACAACAUACGCGGCGAGAUUCCUGUAGGAUUGUCCAACUUGACCAAGCUUUUAACUCUCCGGUUACAAAACAAUGAACUCUCCGGCCAAAUCCCGGAUCUCUCCAGGUCAUUUCCCAAUCUUAAAGAACUCAAUUUGUCCAACAACGAACUGUACGGACGUUUACAAGAUAACUUGUUGAAGAAAUUCAGUUACCGGAGCUUUUUUGGCAAUGAAGGUUUAUGUGGGUCGAGUCCAUUACCAGCUUGUUCCUUCACAGGAACGGUACCGACGGAUCCCUCAUCUCAGACGGUGCCAUCUAACCCAAGCUCAAUGCCCCAGACACCGCUCCUCAGCAAAGACAAGCCUCAGUCACAUAAAGGGCUAAGCCCUGGUGCUAUUGUGGCAAUUGUGAUAGCCAACUGCGUGGCUUUCUUGGUGAUGAUUUCAUUUUUAGUUGCGUAUUAUUGUGGUAGAGACAGAAGUGCAAGCUCUAAAGUGGGUAGUGAGAGUGGAAAGAGAAGGAAGAGUGGAAGCAGCUAUGGAAGCGAAAAGAGAGUGUAUGCAAAUGGGAGUGGAGAUAGCGAUGGAACUAAUGCUACUGAUAGGAGUAGGCUUGUCUUCUUUGACAGGAGGCAGCCGUUUGAACUUGAGGACUUGUUGCGUGCCUCGGCGGAGAUGCUUGGUAAGGGAAGCCUAGGAACUGUCUACAAGGCGGUGCUAGACAAUGGAUGUACGGUGGCGGUGAAGAGGUUGAAGGACGCCAACCCUUGUGCAAGGAAGGAUUUCGAGCAGUAUAUGGAUGUGAUUGGGAAGCUUAAGCAUCCAAAUAUUGUGAGAUUUAGAGCUUACUAUUAUGCCAAGGAAGAGAAACUUAUUGUUUAUGACUAUCUUCCUAAUGGGAGUCUCCAUUCACUUCUUCAUGGAAAUAGAGGUCCAGGGAGGAUGCCUCUGGAUUGGACUACGAGAAUCAGCUUGGUAUUAGGAGCUGCAAGAGGAUUGGCUAAUAUCCAUGAGGAAUACAAUACAUCGAAAAUUCCCCAUGGAAAUGUGAAAUCUUCUAAUGUGCUUCUUGACAAGAAUGGUGUUGCUUGCAUUUCUGAUUUUGGGCUGUCCCUCCUCUUGAACCCAGUUCAUGCCAUAGCAAGAUUGGGAGGAUACAAGGCACCAGAGCAGGCAGAACUCAAGAGACUUUCCCAAAAGGCCGAUGUGUACAGUUUCGGAGUCUUAUUGUUGGAAGUUCUUACAGGAAGAGCUCCCUCACAGUAUCCUUCACCAACACGUCCUCGAAUUGAGGAAGAUGAACAGGCGGUGGAUCUUCCCAAGUGGGUGAGAUCAGUAGUCAAGGAAGAAUGGACAGCAGAAGUGUUUGAUCCAGAACUUUUGAGGUACAAAAACAUUGAAGAAGAACUUGUGUCAAUGCUUCAUGUGGGGUUAGUUUGUGUAGUUCCAGUGCCUGAGAAGAGGCCUACAAUGGCAGAGGUGGUGAAGAUGAUUGAGGACAUUAGGGUGGAGCAGUCGCCUCUGGGAGAGGACUAUGACGAAUCUCGCAAUUCGCUAUCACCUUCCCUGGCAACCACCGAAGAUGGGUUGGCUGGAUAUUGAAAUUGCUAGUAAUUAUUUGGUGGUCCUAUUCUUUUCUUCAUUUGCAUCAUCUUGUCGCUACCUCUCUUCCAAGAACCUUAAUUUGUAUUGCGUUUCUUUGUAAGAUUUUGUAAGCCUUAUGCCUUGCCUCUCCCAUUGCAGGUGUGAAGAUCUGAUUAUCUCUUACACCAGCCAGAAGAUAGAUAAUUCUAGUGUCCUAUGUGAAUUAUAGUUUGGCAUUUGAAUUAGUUAUUCAAUUCAUUGAGGGAAAAAAUUAAUAUUAUUCUCAGCAGCUUGAUUUGCAUACUGUCUGGCAGCUUCAAUCUCAUUGUUUUCGAAAUGAAAUGAAUUGAUACAAUUAGGGUGAACUCAAAGCAGUUCAAAUUGGUCCUCUGGAAGACCAGCAGGUUGGGAGAGGCAUAAGAUGCUUCAACAUGCAUUUGCCUACGUGGCGCUCCAAUAAAACAAACCCAGUAAAUCUUUAUGAAGAAACGAAACUAGUGCUACAAAUGAAGGAUGGACAAUUCUUAUGCACAGCCACCCGGGCUAGGGGGUUAGAAACUCAUGAAAUUUACAGGCAUUUCGGCUCAACGUGUAAUAGUUUGAUGUGAAAAUAACAUUAUUUACUUAUUUAUUUUUUCCUUUUUGGGUUGGUUGAACGCAAAAGGGAGGUGAGAGGAGAUCAACGUGACCCGUCACUGCCAUCAAGAAUUCCCUUCCACGACAUCUACUCCCUCAAUGGCGCUAGAGCUGAUUUCAAAACAAAGCCAAGGCUCGAAACAGCUGAUUUGAAACUCAAAUCCUCGUCCAGGGAAAUAGAAGUAAUGUUCAUUGAGAAAAAUAAACAUUUUAUGUGAUGUGAAGAUUUUAACAGUAGUCCAAGCAAACAAUCAUUUGCUACUCCUCGUUCCACUCUGUCAAAUCAUAAAAAUUAAUUAACAUGCAUGACAUAGUGCAUCCUAAGCAGAGAUGCCUUGAUAUAAUUAUAUAAGCCUCGACUCGUUUUUCCUAUAAAAUAGUCUUACAAUGUGUAAUGACUCGACCCUACAGUACAUACACUGCUAAUCCACUAACAUUUACCAUUCCUGUCACCAUCGAAUCACUUUCAAUGAGUUGAUACAAUUUACAAACUUCAAAAUACAACAGUUUGGCACCAAGAGAAUGCAAGUUCAUCAAUGAAUCAAUCGAAGUUAUUAACAACAGUUGGCGAGUCACAAGAUCCACCCGGACUUCUCAAGUAUACAGCGCAAAAGCCAUUUUAGUGAUGAAAAAGAGUAUCCUGGCCACAGGAUAUCAUUCCUGGAAGGGUCUAUGCAGCAAGAAUUAGAUUGGGAAUUUUGAAAUACAACUACCUGGUAAGGCUUUAAUUAGUUAGUGGAUAUUAGUUGAUAGAUCCCGUUUGAUCAAUCAGUGUGCCAACUUGCUCUCCACAUAAAGCUUUUGAGAUGUUUCCAGGCUCAAGAAGGUUAAAGAUCACAACUGUACAAAAUAAAUUCAUAAGGAUAGUACGGAAUUCAACAUUGCGCCAACACAGCAAUUGGCAUUACAAUAAAAAGUUCUUGAAUCACGAAAAUGGGCAAGCAGACACUAACAACAGUCCAAUAAACCAAAUCCAUUAUCAUGACAGAAACCACAUGAACUAUACGUGACAGUUAUCAGAAAAGAUGCAAUAAAAUAUACCAACCAGGAAUGCCAUUCUCUUCACAGCAGGUCAGUGCCAUCAUGUCCAUUGAUGUGGCACCUCUGGAGACCAAGUCCCGAAAGCAAAUAUGCUCGAAAGUAACAUUGUUGUCUCGGGAAUGGCAGUCAUAGACACCAUCAACAUUAGUACCUUUCAUUACUGCCUCAGCAUGAAUCUCUAAAGCUUGAAGAGCUGCAGCAGUGUCUGUGGAAAAGUGUGGAUUUCCAGUGCCAGCACCAAUGCCACCAAAUAUCACAACUCGGCCUUUCUCAAGAUGGCGAAUGGCACGUUGCCUAUUGUAUGGUUCAGCAACCUCCUGCAUUGCAAAUGCAGUCUGUACACGCGUUUGAACACCCACCUUCUCCAAUGCUGACUGGAGUAAUAUAGAAUUCAUCACACUUGCCAUCAUACCUAUUUGGUAGGCAGUACGUCUAUCAGAACCUGUUGCACUCACCCAUGUGUCUCCACAAAAGAAAUUACGACCUCCAACAACAAUUGCAACCUCUACACCAAGGCGGCAAGCAAUUGCAACUUCUCUUGCAAUCAGCACCAUCACCUUCGGGUCAAUAUUGUUAGGACCAGUGCCAGCAAGAGCAACACCACUGAUUUUCAAUACUACUCUCCGCCAUCUAAUGUUACACAUGGAUUUGGACUUUAUAUUAUUUGUCUGACCUACGUGACUUGCCAUUGUGGUUGCACAUCUGCCAAAAAAAUUGUAAAAAGCAUGUAUUAUAAGAUUCCAACAGCACCAAUGGACUUGAGUCAACAACUAAUUUUCAAACUAAAGAGUCCACAAUGAAACACACGCAUACACAUCAAGAGAAUUGGACAAAGAAAACAUUUCCUUAACUCAUCUUAACUGAUGAUAUAAUGACCCAGAAACAACAGAGCACUUAUCUGAACUCACCUCCAACAUGCCAAUUACAGUCGAAGCUGGUUUCUCUUUCAAUCUAUUGAAAUUGCAAUUCAAUAAAUUUGAUGAGUUAACAUAGUCAAUGAGGCAGCAUCUUAGCAGUUCAUCUAAGAUUUGAUAAUAUCUUACAUGUACCACACAAAAUCAUUAUAUCCAUACAUGCCUAAAUAGUGCUCCUUAUUUCUAAUGUUUUGGCCAAUGUAUUUCAACAGCAUGUAAAGUAAUAAUCUUGUGAAAGUAUAAAAACAUUACACAUUAUGACAGAAUAACUCAUCACAAUAGCAUUGAGUACAAGUGCAAAUAUACUUUGAAUACAAAUACAGAAGCACCAAAGGGUGUAUAAUGAGUAAUAAUGUGGCCACAUAAUAACCAAAACAACAAGAAUAAACAUGAUAGCCAACACAAGAGCUGCAAAGGACCAGUUAUAUAACAAUCCAUUUGAUAGGAAGCCAGUUGGCUACCAAGUGCCUUCCAAAAAAGCACAGUUCUUACAAAAGCCAUCCAAAGUCUCUCUUACUCUACAACAAGAAUUUAUAUCAGAGGUGUUUGUUUUAGUUGUUUAGAUCCUUGAUCAAAGAACACCAUAUCCUACAGAUGAACCGAACAUCAAGGAUGGGAACUACCAUGCCAGUAACUAAGGAUGGGUGACACUCUCUCUUACUAGAGAUGGCAAGAACAGGGAAACUACCUCAACCAUGCAAUUAUCCAACUCAUCAAAACCUUCUAGGAGAAAGAUUUUUGAAAGAAACCCUAUGAGUAGUGAGAGGACAGCUCCAGAAAAAGUAAAUUUUCUCUCCAAAGAAUAUAUCAAAACUCUGUUGAAAUUACCUUUGAAAUCUAACUUUCUGUCGAAGUAGGCUCACCGUAACCCAUUCUAGCCUAUUCUUAUUUGUUUCUUGUGAGUGUUGUGCAUGGAUUUUGGGGAAUAAGAUUAUAGUGACAUCAUCACUGAUAGCAUUAAUUAUGAAAUUCUGUUAUCAAUUUACCAAUCAAGUCCCAACUAACUCCUAAGCUAUGAAAGUAUGUAUGUUAAUUGCUAAAGCACUUUCCAUAGAUGCCUCAUCUCAUCAUCCCUUAACCUCCCCAUCACCAAACCAACCAAUAUACUGACUGAAUAACCAGAAGAGUCCAAUUAUAGCCGACACUGAAUAAUUUUAACUAAUUAGAAGCAUCCAAACUAAAACACUAAAAGUUAAAGCUAAACUAAAUUUCUUCCCAAACCCAAGUUUGCAACAUAAUUGAGUUGCAUUCUUACAAGCUAAUGCAUUUCCUCACAUUCUCAAUCAAACAAGUGCAAGUGUGCAACAUUCAAUCACCUUCCAGGCAGCGAAACUAUCUUAACUAUUUCAAUGGAGGUAGCACCCGAUAAUCGAGGCGUUUGACACGGUUUUACUUUAAUUCGUACCUAACAAACAGAAUAGCAUAGCUAAAGAAUCAACAGAACUGAAAAAUCUAC